Molecule: transfer RNA, 72 nt
Filed under: Camelus bactrianus (Bactrian camel)
Lineage: Eukaryota; Metazoa; Chordata; Mammalia; Artiodactyla; Camelidae
Also listed under: 2 other names
Rfam family: tRNA
About the family: Transfer RNA (tRNA) molecules are approximately 80 nucleotides in length.
Source: Rfam by way of RNAcentral
GAGGGUAUAGCUCAGUGGUAGAGUGCAUGCCUAGCAUGCAUGAGGUCCUGGGUUCCAUCCCCAGUAUCUCCA